This is a small nucleolar RNA of Panthera pardus (leopard), 147 nucleotides long. The record is from Ensembl. NCBI's taxonomy places the organism in Eukaryota, Metazoa, Chordata, Mammalia, Carnivora, Felidae.
AAUCACCACCCUUGGAUUUGAGGCCACUGGCUUGUUGAUAAAGUCACAAGCAUGGGUAGUGCGCUCCAUGAGGGGCAAGUCUUUCACUGACAACACUAGGGUCUCUGAACCAAUGAGUGGAAUUUGAUAGUAAUCCCUGCUAUAAGU